GAUGAACGCUGGCGGCGUGCCUAAUACAUGCAAGUCGAGCGAACAGACGAGGAGCUUGCUCCUCUGACGUUAGCGGCGGACGGGUGAGUAACACGUGGAUAACCUACCUAUAAGACUGGGAUAACUUUGGGAAACCGGAGCUAAUACCGGAUAAUAUAUUGAACCGCAUGGUUCAAUAGUGAAGGACGGUUUUGCUGUCACUUAUAGAUGGAUCCGCGCCGCAUUAGCUAGUUGGUAAGGUAACGGCUUACCAAGGCGACGAUGCGUAGCCGACCUGAGAGGGUGAUCGGCCACACUGGAACUGAGACACGGUCCAGACUCCUACGGGAGGCAGCAGUAGGGAAUCUUCCGCAAUGGGCGAAAGCCUGACGGAGCAACGCCGCGUGAGUGAUGAAGGUCUUCGGAUCGUAAAACUCUGUUAUUAGGGAAGAACAAAUGUGUAAGUAACUAUGCACGUCUUGACGGUACCUAAUCAGAAAGCCACGGCUAACUACGUG
RNAcentral lists this ribosomal RNA (497 nucleotides) under uncultured bacterium. RNAcentral describes it as "partial 16S ribosomal RNA". It matches the Rfam family "Bacterial small subunit ribosomal RNA", at positions 28 to 507 of the family's 1533-position model. The record is from RNAcentral.